CCGCCGCUACUGUAUUGUGUACGUUCAGCCUUGCUUCCGAUUGCCGGAAUCACCGCGUGCCCACGCAUUGCGCACCCUUAGACGGGAGUCCAAGCCUUAUUGUCCCUCUUUAGCGACGAUUAUGGCCUACUAUAGCGCUCUAGUUUCUAAAUAGCCGGACUCCUACUCGGGCGCAUCCUAAUCGAUCAACCACCCCAUUUCCGGGUGGUUCCGCUACUAG
Molecule: ribosomal RNA, 220 nt
Filed under: Streptofusia jilina
Lineage: Bacteria
Description: partial 16S ribosomal RNA
Source: RNAcentral